GCUCCUGUGGCGCAAUUGGUUAGCGCAUGAGUCUUAUAGAACACUCACGAAACGUGAUGUACUAUGAUUGCGGACUUCUCAAGGUUGUCGGUUCGAGCCCGACCAGGAGCA
Aspergillus ruber CBS 135680 is the source of this 111-nucleotide transfer RNA. It matches the Rfam family "tRNA". Rfam says of the family: Transfer RNA (tRNA) molecules are approximately 80 nucleotides in length. The record is from Rfam. Lineage: Eukaryota; Fungi; Ascomycota; Eurotiomycetes; Eurotiales; Aspergillaceae.